UACUCCUACGGGAGGCAGCAGUAGGGAAUCUUCGGCAAUGGACGGAAGUCUGACCGAGCAACGCCGCGUGAGUGAAGAAGGUUUUCGGAUCGUAAAGCUCUGUUGUAAGAGAAGAACGAGUGUGAGAGUGGAAAGUUCACACUGUGACGGUAUCUUACCAGAAAGGGACGGCUAACUACGUGCCAGCAGCCGCGGUAAUACGUAGGUCCCGAGCGUUAUCCGGAUUUAUUGGGCGUAAAGCGAGCGCAGGCGGUUAGAUAAGUCUGAAGUUAAAGGCUGUGGCUUAACCAUAGUACGCUUUGGAAACUGUUUAACUUGAGUGCAAGAGGGGAGAGUGGAAUUCCAUGUGUAGCGGUGAAAUGCGUAGAUAUAUGGAGGAACACCGGUGGCGAAAGCGGCUCUCUGGCUUGUAACUGACGCUGAGGCUCGGAAGCGUGGGGAGCAAACAGGAUUAGAUACCCUGGUAGUCCACGCCGUAAACGGUGAGUGCUAGGUGUUAGACCCUUUCCGGGGUUUAGUGCCGUAGCUAACGCAUUAAGCACUCCGCCUGGGGAGUACGACCGCAAGGUUGAAACUCAAAGGAAUUGACGGA
Molecule: ribosomal RNA, 592 nt
Filed under: uncultured bacterium
Lineage: Bacteria
Description: bacterial SSU rRNA
Rfam family: Bacterial small subunit ribosomal RNA
Source: RNAcentral